This is a non-coding RNA of Cinara cedri, 648 nucleotides long. NCBI's taxonomy places the organism in Eukaryota, Metazoa, Arthropoda, Insecta, Hemiptera, Aphididae. The record is from the annotation of a GenBank genome assembly.
CUUCAUCAAUUAAAUAAUUAUGUUUUUUGAUCACGAUGUGACAUCGCUAAGACGGCUAUUCGUUAUAAAACCAUAAUUAUUUAUAGGUUAAGUCUUUGUAUAUAAUUUUCUUCAAUAACAAGUCACACAGAAACGCGUCAAGGUUCUUUCCAUCGUCUCGUUCAGUGGGACGAGGAAAACAUAUGAACCAAUAAAAUUAAAUUUUAAAUUAGUGAUGACGAGAAUGAAAAAUAUCUCGUUUUCAAAUAGUUUUUUUUUCGUUUUUUUUUUAAUGUUUAAGUUUGAAUAGUACCUAUUUUUAUGGCAUACAUUUUGUUUUUAUAUAAAAGAUUAUAAAAAAAAAUUUAAAAAAAAACAUGAUUUAUGUUACAAUUUUCACAUAUAAUGUUUACAUUGGAAACCCACUUAAACGACUGCUAACCUACGUCGGCAUGUUUUAAGGUGGCAUUAAGGUUAAGCUAAGUCUAGGCUAUGUUUGAAUUUUAUUUUUUUUUCAAUUUAUUUUACUAAAUUUUCCUAUUUUAAUGUAUUGGCAUUAUUGUCCAUACCCUUUAUCGACUAAAUAAUUAUGUUUUUUGAUCACGAUGUGUCAUCGCUAAGACGGCUAUUCAUUCGGUAUAAAACCAUAAUUAUGUAUAGGUUAAGUUU